AAACCGUUCAGGGGUAAACCUGAGAAAUCCAAAAGAUCGAAUGGGGAGAUUCAUCGUCAACGAGAAGGCUCCCGUUGGUGUGCGAUGUCCCAAGUGGAUCCUCGUGGUUCACUGGGAGGGCACGCCACCUACGGGUCGAAGACCGGCUUCGUAGUCGUGCACUUCUCCCCUAGUAGAACGUCGCGACCCGUUGUGUGUCGGUCUACGGCCCGGGGUCGAAGCCUGACACGUUCCUUGAGGCACACGCUGUCAGAUCCCCGGUAGCCUGGCCGGCUGCACGACGGUACUCGUACGGUAUCGGGCCGCAACCAAUCCAUUUUCGAAUGAGUGUGCGUCAGGCCCGUCGCAAGCGUCGAUUAGUAAAUCCGUGUAAACGCAUCUUGUGCCUUACCGGGCCUAGUCGUUCAGCUGUUAGCCGGCGGUGUCAUUGGACUGGCCAAAAUACGAAUUACCGGUCGGCGACGCUAUUGCUUUGGGUACUUUCAGGACCCGUCUUGAAACACGGACCAAGGAGUCUAACAUGUGCGCGAGUCAUUGGGACAGACAAACCUAAAGGCGAAAUGAAAGUGAAGGUCGACCUCAUUGCGUUGAUCAAGGGAGGAUGGGCCCCGUUACGAUGGGGCCUCGCACUCCCGGGGCGUCUCGUUCUCAUUGCGAGGAGAGGCGCACCUAGAGCGUACACGUU
RNAcentral lists this ribosomal RNA (685 nucleotides) under Pachymelus peringueyi. RNAcentral describes it as "eukaryotic LSU rRNA". It matches the Rfam family "Eukaryotic large subunit ribosomal RNA", at positions 402 to 810 of the family's 3401-position model. Lineage: Eukaryota; Metazoa; Arthropoda; Insecta; Hymenoptera; Apidae. The record is from RNAcentral.